This 673-nucleotide ribosomal RNA is filed under the name uncultured bacterium. RNAcentral's name for it is "bacterial SSU rRNA". It matches the Rfam family "Bacterial small subunit ribosomal RNA", at positions 56 to 736 of the family's 1533-position model. The record is from RNAcentral.
UGCAAGUCGAACGGACUUAAUCGAUUCUUUUAGAUUCGAAGCGGUUAGUGGCGGACUGGUGAGUAACACGUAAGCAACCUGCCUGUUAGAGGGGAAUAACAGUGAGAAAUCAUUGCUAAUACCGCAUAUGCCAUGAACAUCACAUGAUGAAAGUGGGAAAAGAGUAAUCUGCUAGUAGAUGGGCUCGCGUCUGAUUAGAUAGUUGGUGGGGUAACGGCCUACCAAGUCGACGAUCAGUAGCCGGACUGAGAGGUUGAACGGCCACAUUGGGACUGAGAUACGGCCCAGACUCCUACGGGAGGCAGCAGUCGGGAAUAUUGCGCAAUGGAGGAAACUCUGACGCAGUGACGCCGCGUAUAGGAAGAAGGUUUUCGGAUUGUAAACUACUGUCGUUAGGGAAGAUACAAGACAGUACCUAAGGAGGAAGCUCCGGCUAACUACGUGCCAGCAGCCGCGGUAAUACGUAGGGAGCAAGCGUUAUCCGGAUUUAUUGGGUGUAAAGGGUGCGUAGACGGGAAAGCAAGUUAGUUGUGAAAUCCCUCGGCUUAACUGAGGAACUGCAACUAAAACUGUUUUUCUUGAGUGUUGGAGAGGAAAGUGGAAUUCCUAGUGUAGCGGUGAAAUGCGUAGAUAUUAGGAGGAACACCGGUGGCGAAGGCGACUUUCUGGACAA